Molecule: non-coding RNA, 253 nt
Organism: Labrus bergylta (ballan wrasse)
Lineage: Eukaryota; Metazoa; Chordata; Actinopteri; Labriformes; Labridae
Source: RefSeq, a predicted model, not a curated record
GAAAAAUGCUCUGUUUCAAAUGUGCUCUCCUUGCGAUGUCACAGUGGGAUUCUGGUAAAAUAUAAAUAAAACCCUCCCCUAAUAUCUCCACACAUGGACUCCACCCCCAGACUAAAACAAAACUUUAGCGCAGGUCGGCCAUUUUUAUUCUCUCUACAGAGGAGUGAUGAGAAGAUGAGUCUCGAGAACGUCUUUGUGUUUAAAGUCACGAUUUAAUCUUCAUUCACACUCUAACAUUUCAUCUGUUUUUCAG